This is a long non-coding RNA of Prosopis cineraria, 767 nucleotides long. RefSeq lists it as uncharacterized. The transcript has 2 exons. The record is from RefSeq and is a predicted model, not a curated record. NCBI's taxonomy places the organism in Eukaryota, Viridiplantae, Streptophyta, Magnoliopsida, Fabales, Fabaceae.
UGGAUCCUUCGACUGAGGGGUUUUGCCGAUGCCGUCUCCCUCCGUUCCUCUUCGAUUUUUUCGGUUCGAUUUUUCCGGUGAGUUCUCGUUGUUUUGCCUCCAGCCAAGUCUUCCCCAUUUUUCCUCUUCUUUUCUUCUCUUUUCGGCGGCGCAUACGCGUUCUGGAGCAGAGGAACAGAGUUAGAGAUUUUUCUUGGUUCCAGUAGCUUCGAGAUCUUUGUCUUCCACCCUCAUCCCUGUUACUCGUCCAGUGGCCAGCAACCUUGAGAACGUCGAAAUCCUUACUGUGGGUAGUGCACAGUACUUCGUCCAGCUCUCCCCUGUUCCGUAUCAUUUUUCUUUCUUCAGCAUCUGUGUAAAUAUGUAACACUGAUUGCUAACGGCAGUUCCGUUAGCCCUUGGCGCGCCAUGGUACACCUAGCUAGCAGGGUGUUUAUAGGAGGUGCUAACCCCGUGCGAUGGCCAACGCACGUGGAACGGAAGGAUGGUUAUUCGUGAGCAUCGUACUCACAUUUGUUUUCGUGGCAUAAGUCGCGUUUGGUUACUUACCCUCGUGGAUUGUGUGUCCAUGUUUGUUUCGUGGCUUCGGCCGCGUUUGGUUAUUUGCUCUCGUGGAUUGUGUGUCCACGUUUGUUUUCGUGGUAUAAGCCGCGUUUGGUUAUUUAUCCUCGUGGACUGUGUGUCCACAUUUGUUAAUUGUUCUGAUAAGUCCUUAUAAUUAUGGAUUCAAUUAUUUGAUGAUUUUAUAUUUCAUUAAUUUUUAUUCA